Molecule: unclassified non-coding RNA, 320 nt
Filed under: uncultured fungus
Lineage: Eukaryota; Fungi
Description: partial contains small subunit ribosomal RNA, internal transcribed spacer 1, and 5.8S ribosomal RNA
Rfam family: Eukaryotic small subunit ribosomal RNA (bases 1-73)
Source: RNAcentral
GCAAACUUGGUCAUUUAGAGGAAGUAAAAGUCGUAACAAGGUAACCGUAGGUGAACCUGCGGUUGGAUCAUUAGUAAUAAUGAUGACAUACCAAUGUUGGUGCUUACCGGCACCUUCUUGGGAGUCACUAACCUCUGUGCACUGUUUAUUGUAUCGGGCCUAUGUGAAGCAGUCUUUCGGGACGGUGAAUCGUUGGCCCACAGGACGGCUCUGCCGUGCAAACCCAAACCACUGUUUUUUUGACUGAUUUUGUUUCUUAGAAACCCAUUACAACUGUUAACAAUGGAUCUCUAGGCUCACGCAUCGAUGAAGAACGCAGC